Molecule: RNA transcript, 4549 nt
Organism: Jaculus jaculus (lesser Egyptian jerboa)
Lineage: Eukaryota; Metazoa; Chordata; Mammalia; Rodentia; Dipodidae
Gene: Prp4k
Gene name: pre-mRNA processing factor 4B
Exons: 18
Source: RefSeq, a predicted model, not a curated record
CGCCCGGAGCGCUCUGCACAUGCGCGACGGCGCUUCCCUUCUUCCCCCGCUUCCGCUGGCUUCCGCCGUCCCGGGAGCCGCCGCCGCUGCCGCCGCGGAGGAGUCGGGGAGUUCAAGAUGGCCGCCGCGGGGACGCCGUCGCUGCGGGAGCAGCCUGAGAUGGAAGAUGCGGAUAAUUCUGAAAAGAGUGUAAAUGAAGAAAAUGGAGAUGUGUCCGAAGAGCAGUCUCAGAAUAAGCACAGCCGCCACAAGAAGAAGAAGCGCAAACACAGGAGUAAGCGGAAGAAACGCAAGCGCUGCUCUGACGAGGACAGGGACAAGGACAAGGAGAGGAGGCACCGGCACCGGCAUAAGCACAAGAGACACAAGAGGAAGGAGGCGCUGGGCGCUUCUGACAGGGAGGGCGCGUCUCCUGCCAAAAGAACCAAGCUGGAUGAUCUGGCUCUGCUGGAAGACUUGGAAAAGCAGCGAGCCUUGAUUAAAGCCGAACUUGAUAAUGAGCUAAUGGAGGGGAAGGUCCAGUCCGGGAUGGGGCUCAUUCUGCAGGGCUAUGAGUCUGGCUCGGAAGAGGAAGGUGAGAUCCAUGAAAAGGCAAGAAACGGCAAUAGGUCUAGUACUAGAUCUUCGAGUGCGAAGGGAAAACUUGAACUUGUGGACAAUAAAAAUAGUACAAAAAAACGAAGUAAAAGCAGGUCCAAAGAACGGACUAGACAUAGGUCAGAUAAAAAGAAAAGCAAGGGAGGUAUUGAAAUAAUUAAAGACAAAACAACAAGAAGCAAGUCAAAAGAGAGAAAAAAGUCCAAAAGUCCAUCCAAGAGAAGUAAGUCUCAAGACCAAGCAAGAUCAAAGUCUCCCAUGCUUAGACGGCGGUCUCAAGAGAGAGUAGGGAAGACCAGGUCUCCUGAUGAGAAGGUUAAAAUUGAAGACAAAAAUAAGACAAAAGAUAGGAAAAAGUCCCCAAUUAUAAAUGAAAGUAGAAGUCGCGAUCGAGGUAAAAAAUCCAGAUCCCCAGUUGACCUUAGAGAUAAAUCCAAAGACAGAAGGUCAAGGUCCAAAGAGAGAAAAUCAAAACGGUCUGACAUUGACAGAGAAAAGAAGCCAAUGAAAUCACCCUCCAAAGAUGCUUCCUCUGGGAAAGAGAACCGCUCACCCAGCAGAAGGCCUGGCCGCAGCCCCAAGAGGAGAAGCCUGUCUCCUCGGCAGCGCGACAAAGCCAGGCGAAGCCGGUCUCCACUUGUAAACGAGAGGAGGUCUAAGCAGAGCAAGUCACCUUCUCGGACACUGUCUCCAAGCAGAAGAGCCAAGAGCCGAUCCUUAGACAGGAAACGAAGGGAACCAGAGAGGAGACGGCUUUCUUCUCCAAGAACACGACCUCGAGAUGAUAUCCUUAGUAGACGUGAACGGUCAAAAGAUGCCAGCCCCAUCAAUAGGUGGUCUCCAGCCCGAAGAAGAAGUAGGUCUCCCAUUAGAAGGAGAUCCCGGUCCCCACUGAGACGCAGCAGGUCUCCACGAAGACGGAGCAGGUCUCCUCGGAGGAGAGACCGAGGCCGGAGGAGCAGAUCCCGCUUGAGAAGAAGAUCUCGAUCCCGAGGUGGCCGCAGACGGAGGAGCAGAAGCGCCGUGAAGGAGGACAGGUUUAAGGGAAGCCUGUCUGAGGGGAUGAGAGCUGAGCAGGAGUCGUCAUCAGAUGACAACCUGGAAGACUUCGAUGUAGAGGAAGAAGACGAAGAAGCUGUCAUAGAACAGAGAAGAAUUCAGAGGCAGGCGAUUGUCCAGAAAUAUAAAUAUCUUGCUGAGGACAGCAAUAUGUCUGUGCCCUCUGAGCCCAGCAGUCCCCAGAGCAGUACUCGGACACGCUCGCCCUCUCCUGAGGACAUCCUGGAGCGGGUGGCAGCUGACGUGAAGGAGUACGAGCGGGAGAACGUGGACACGUUUGAGGCUGCUGUCAAGGCCAAGCAUAACCUGAUGGCCGUGGAGCAGAACAACGGUUCAUCGCAGAAGAAGCUUUUGGCACCUGACAUGUUUACAGAAUCUGAUGACAUGUUUGCUGCAUAUUUUGAUAGUGCUCGUCUUCGGGCUGCUGGCUUUGGGAAAGACUUCAAGGAGAAUCCCAACCUCAGAGACAACUGGACUGACGCAGAAGGCUAUUACCGCGUAAACAUCGGUGAAGUCCUAGAUAAGCGCUACAAUGUGUAUGGCUACACUGGGCAGGGCGUGUUCAGCAAUGUUGUCCGAGCCAGAGAUAACGCCAGAGCCAACCAAGAGGUGGCUGUGAAGAUCAUCAGAAACAACGAGCUCAUGCAAAAGACUGGUUUAAAAGAGCUAGAGUUCUUGAAAAAACUUAACGACGCUGAUCCCGAUGACAAAUUUCACUGUCUUCGACUCUUCAGACACUUUUAUCAUAAGCAGCACCUGUGUCUUGUAUUUGAGCCUCUCAGCAUGAACUUACGAGAAGUGCUAAAGAAGUAUGGCAAGGAUGUGGGCCUGCAUAUCAAAGCGGUGAGGUCCUACAGCCAGCAGCUGUUCCUGGCCCUGAAGCUCCUUAAACGGUGCAACAUCCUGCACGCAGACAUCAAGCCAGACAACAUUCUGGUUAAUGAAUCAAAAACAAUUUUAAAGCUUUGCGAUUUUGGGUCGGCCUCACAUGUUGCGGAUAAUGACAUAACACCUUAUCUUGUCAGUAGAUUUUACCGAGCUCCUGAGAUCAUUAUAGGUAAAAGCUACGACUACGGCAUAGACAUGUGGUCCGUAGGUUGCACCCUGUAUGAACUCUACACCGGAAAGAUCUUAUUUCCUGGUAAAACUAAUAACCAUAUGUUGAAGCUUGCCAUGGAUCUCAAAGGAAAGAUGCCAAAUAAGAUGAUCCGGAAAGGCGUGUUCAAAGACCAGCACUUUGAUCAGAAUCUCAACUUCAUGUACAUAGAAGUUGAUAAAGUAACAGAGAGGGAGAAAGUUACUGUCAUGAGCACCAUUAAUCCAACUAAGGACCUGUUGGCUGACUUGAUUGGGUGCCAGCGACUUCCUGAAGACCAGCGUAAAAAAGUACACCAGCUAAAGGACUUGUUGGACCAGAUUCUAAUGUUGGACCCAGCUAAACGAAUUAGCAUCAACCAGGCCCUACAGCAUGCAUUCAUCCAGGAAAAAAUUUAAACGAGAUGAAGAAACUCCAAGGGUUUGAGUAAUUCAAUACAAAGACUGAAGAAAUUUCACAGCAGUUUAUUAUUAAUGUAUAUAAACUUAUAAAUAUUUCUCCAGCAAAUUUGAGGAAGCAUGAUCUAUUUGAAUUAAUGCCAAGGGUGAUAUUUCUUUUAGAAAUGGUAGUUCAUGUGUUUGUGUCUUAUGUGAAGUUUCACUGUAGAACUGUUCUAACUGCCCACACUGCACAGAACUCUAGUGCUAAUGUGGAUGGCUGCAGUUCCCAUCAGAGACAGAGCCUCUGUGAUGAGCAGUGGUGCUGGGUGGUUGAUUGGUUUUAGCAGACUUGGCUUCAGUUUGGUCUUCAGAUGCAAUGGCCAGCAUAAAUGCUGUUUAUAUUCACGUUUUCCUAGGUGUGUGUGUGCAGGCCACAGCAGCAUGCCCUUGGUGUAGUCAGUGCCGAAGGGGGUCUGUUCCUUCUUGAGCCUGCCUGCAGGGAUGUCUCCUCUUUUAAAGCAGGUUGUGUACAACUUUCAGUACACUGAAGGUAAGCGAAACCAUCAACGUCACCAGUGCUUUAAGACGUUAUUGUAUUGGAGUAAUUGACAAGUGAGGGAUGUUAGCUUUGUGGCAGAAUUCCCUGCAUGUGUGAUAACUGAUCUUAUUUUAUUUUUUGGCAUCGCGACUGUGGCAUAGUUAAAGUUUCUGUUCUUUUCAUUGCAUUUAAAAAUUUGAAGAGUAUGCGCUUGAUGGAUAGAGCGCCUUCAGUGUACUGUUUCUUACUAACUUUACUUUUUUAAAUCAACUUGCUAUAGACUUUAUAUACAUUUUGUUAAAUAUAGUUCCUAGUGACAUAGAGACAAUGCAUAGUUUUCAUUUACUAAUUACAAAUGUUGAGGCCUAAUUCUGAAAGUCCUCAUAUUAAAAAAAAAAAAGGGUUAGAAAACAUAAUGAAAUUUUUAACUAUUUGUAUGUCAUCUUAAAAUGUGCUGCUUUGUGGGGAGAGUGCUGUCAUCUGCUCACUGUCGUCUUUACCUGUGACCGUGUUGUUUUUCACGCAGGCACACCCUCCACUCUUGUCUUGAGAAAGCAGCUGCUUUCUAACAGCGAGAAAAAGGAGAGCGGGCACAGGCCAUCCGACGCCUUCUCCCAGGGUCUGAUUUGCUGAGACACCAGCUUCACCUUCUUAACAAGGUGCAGCUCAGUGGAAGAUGAUGACGCCAGAAGACAUGAGCUAAGGGUAAGGGCUGUUCUUCUGAAGAGCCUUCCAGUUAGCGAUCAAGACGCGGAGGCUGCUGUCUGGCGUGCUCCAUGUGUAUCCUAAUUGUCUGGUGUCACUUGAAUUGUAACUUGUAUUUUAGCAGCACGGGUUCCCAACAACUUCCUCAGAAACUUAAUAAAGUGUCUCUUGGAA